Macrobrachium nipponense is the source of this 773-nucleotide long non-coding RNA. RefSeq lists it as uncharacterized. The record is from RefSeq and is a predicted model, not a curated record. Lineage: Eukaryota; Metazoa; Arthropoda; Malacostraca; Decapoda; Palaemonidae. The transcript is spliced from 3 exons.
UGAAGCUGACGGCCAUCAAACUGGAGUACAGUUGUCCCACGUGCAUGCCACCGAGCGCACCGUCGGCUUUAGGGGCCCCCUGGGAUCACAGUUGCAACCCAAAUGACGUCACUGUUGGGAUUGCCUCCCACACUGCUUUUCCAGACCUCGAUUACAUGCUGUGCAUUCAGGUGCCAGGGAUGUCGUUAAUUCUCAACAAUGGCUACCUUACCUUGAACAACGCAAGAUCUUGCAAUACAUUAGUCAAUGUUUCUAACACGGUGAUUAACAGUUUGUGGGGCAACAAGCAGUAUUACAAUCCGCCCACCUCUCUCGGCUAUCCCUGUCGCCAUAUCUUUUCCAAUCAAAAGGUUGACUUGACCAGGUGCCUAAACGCCACAGAAACUUACCGGUACGUUAGCGACGUCAGAAGGCCCUUGAAGAUGCUCCUCUGUCCUCCUCACAUGGUGGCACAGGCACUCCACGCCACUGCCACCGUCAGGGCUUUCGUCACCUGUUGCCUCUUAUACUAAGGGCUCUCACGUUGACCAGGCAGAUGCUUAGAAUAUACCUAAUCUCAUUGUUGUUGUCACAGUAUACGACAAGUACAGGACAUUAUGUUCAACUAUAUUCACAGAAAUUAACAGAUAAAGGGAAUGUUUGCUAAGUGUCACAUUUUCUUUUCUAGAAAUGUGUCUGCAUUUUUAUGCACGUAAAUGUAAUAGGUCUAGAUCAGAUGUAUUUAAAUUAGCAAUGUCAACACUCCAAUAGAAAAAAAAUAGGUUCAACUCGUU